AGUGAACGCUGGCGGCGUGCUUAACACAUGCAAGUCGAACGGGCAAGUGCCGUAGCAAUACGGAUUACUGCUAGUGGCAGACGGGUGAGUAAUACAUAGGAAUCUGCCUCGGAGUGGGGAAUAACAGUUGGAAACGACUGAUAAUACCCCAUAUUGCCUGAGGGUGAAAGAAUUUCGCUCCGAGAUGAGCCUAUGCAGGAUUAGCUUGUUGGUAGGGUAAUGGCCUACCAAGGCGACGAUCUUUAGCUGGUCUAAGAGGAUGAUCAGCCACACUGGAACUGAGACACGGUCCAGACUCCUACGGGAGGCAGCAGUGGGGGAAUUUUGGACAGUGGGCGAAAGCCUGAUCCAGCGACGCCGCGUGGGUGAUAAGGCC
Molecule: ribosomal RNA, 376 nt
Filed under: uncultured bacterium
Lineage: Bacteria
Description: bacterial SSU rRNA
Rfam family: Bacterial small subunit ribosomal RNA
Source: RNAcentral